Molecule: ribosomal RNA, 496 nt
Filed under: uncultured bacterium
Lineage: Bacteria
Description: partial 16S ribosomal RNA
Rfam family: Bacterial small subunit ribosomal RNA
Source: RNAcentral
GAUGAACGCUGGCGGCGUGCCUAAUACAUGCAAGUCGAGCGAACAGACGAGGAGCUUGCUCCUCUGACGUUAGCGGCGGACGGGUGAGUAACACGUGGAUAACCUACCUAUAAGACUGGGAUAACUUCGGGAAACCGGAGCUAAUACCGGAUAAUAUAUUGAACCGCAUGGUUCAAUAGUGAAAGACGGUUUUGCUGGCACUUAUAGAUGGAUCCGCGCCGCAUUAGCUAGUUGGUAAGGUAACGGCUUACCAAGGCGACGAUGCGUAGCCGACCUGAGAGGGUGAUCGGCCACAGUGGAAGUGAGACACGGUCCAGACUCCUACGGGAGGCAGCAGUAGGGAAUCUUCCGCAAUGGGCGAAAGCCUGACGGAGCAACGCCGCGGGAGUGAUGAAGGUCUGCGGAUCGUAAAACUCUGUUAUAGGGAAGAACAAAUGUGUAAGUAACUAUGCACGUCUUGACGGUACCUAAUCAGAAAGCCACGGCUAACUACGUG